GAACUAUAUAAAACACAGAACUCUCUUAAGUUCUUAAGUAAAUGAAAGAUGAAUGUAGAACUCUAUGCUGUUCUCUUCUCACUGGCUGUAGUGGGUGUACUCGGACAAACUGUGGAGCAAACUGAGCUCUUUUGGACAAAGUCACUGAAUAAGAGAGCUUAUAUCAGCUGUAAAGUGACUGGACUUCAGAGCAGCAACUACGUCCACUGGUAUCAACAGAAAGGUGGAGAAGCUCUAAAAAGGAUCCUGUACGUUAAUAAAGAUGCCUCUAGCACUGUUCGUGAUCCAAACCAUCCUGAAGCAAAAGACUUCUCUGUGACUCUAGAGAAGGGUGAUGCAGGUGAUAAUUAUGUUCUGAAGGUGGGCUCAGUGAAGCUCAACCAUGCUGGAGUUUAUUACUGUGCUGUCUGGAGGGGCAGCCACAGUGAGAUAAACUGCUCACAUCCUGUACAAUAACUACUGUAACUCUGCCAGUGUUCAACCUGAAAGUUGCACAGCACAAUCAA
Astyanax mexicanus (Mexican tetra) is the source of this 506-nucleotide non-coding RNA. The record is from the annotation of a RefSeq genome assembly. NCBI's taxonomy places the organism in Eukaryota, Metazoa, Chordata, Actinopteri, Characiformes, Acestrorhamphidae.